This 625-nucleotide ribosomal RNA is filed under the name uncultured Thermoprotei archaeon. Its description in RNAcentral is "bacterial SSU rRNA". It matches the Rfam family "Archaeal small subunit ribosomal RNA", at positions 4 to 605 of the family's 1478-position model. Lineage: Archaea; Thermoproteati; Thermoproteota; Thermoprotei. The record is from RNAcentral.
CCGGUUGAUCCUGCCGGACCCUACUGCUAUCGGGAUGGGACUAAGACAUGCUAGUCGUGCGCUUCUAAGCCAUGGUGGAGGCGCGGCGCACAGCUCAGUAACACGUGGCUAACCUGCCCUCGGGACGGGAACACCCCCGGGAAACUGGGGCUAAUUCCCGAUAGGUGAAGAACUCUGGAAUGAGUCUCCGCCCAAAAGACGUUCAGGUCAUGCUCCUGAAUGCCGCCCAAGGAUGGGCCGCGACCGAUCAGGUUGUUGGUGAGGUAAUGGCUCACCAAGCCUUUAACCGGUUCGGGCCGUGGGAGCGGGAGCCCGGAGAUGGGCACUGAGACAAGGGCCCAGGUCCUACGGGGCGCAGCAGUCGCGAAAACUCCGCAAUACGCGAAGGCGUGACGGGGCUAUCCCGAGUGCCGUCCGCUGAGGAUGGCUUUUCCCCAGUGUAGAUAGCUGGGGGAAUAAGGAGAGGGCAAGUCUGGUGUCAGCCGCCGCGGUAAUACCAGCUCUCCGAGUGGUGGGGACGUUUAUUGGGCCUGAAGCAUCCGUAGCCAGCUGAGCAAGUCCCCAGUUAAAUCCAGCGAUUUAAUCGUUGGACUGCUGGGGAUACUGUCCGGCUUGGGGGUGGGAG